GAUGAACGCUGGCGGCGUGCCUAAUACAUGCCAGUCGAGCGAACGGACGAGAAGCUUGCUUCUCUGAUGUUAGCGGCGGACGGGUGAGUAACACGUGGAUAACCUACCUAUAAGACUGGGAUAACUUCGGGAAACCGGAGCUAAUACCGGAUGAUCUUUUGAACCGCAUGGUUCAAAAGUGAAAGACGGUCUUGCUGUCUCUUAUCGAUGGAUCCGCGCUGCAUUAGCUAGUUGGUAAGGUAACGGCUUACCAAGGGAACGAUGCAUAGCCGACCUGUGAGGGUGAUCGGCCACACUGGAGCGUAGACACGGUCAAGACGCCUACGGGAGGCAGCAGUAGGGAAUCUGCCGCAAUGGGCGAAAGCCUGACGGAGCAACGCCGCGUGAGUGAUGAAGGUCUUCGGAUCGUAAAACUCUGUUAUUAGGGAAGAACAGAUGUGGAAGUAACUGUGCACAUCUUGACGGUACCUAAUCAGAAAGCCACGGCUAACUACGUG
RNAcentral lists this ribosomal RNA (497 nucleotides) under uncultured bacterium. RNAcentral's name for it is "partial 16S ribosomal RNA". It matches the Rfam family "Bacterial small subunit ribosomal RNA", at positions 28 to 507 of the family's 1533-position model. The record is from RNAcentral.